This is a long non-coding RNA of Alexandromys fortis (reed vole), 1365 nucleotides long. RefSeq lists it as uncharacterized. The transcript has 6 exons. The record is from RefSeq and is a predicted model, not a curated record. Lineage: Eukaryota; Metazoa; Chordata; Mammalia; Rodentia; Cricetidae.
CUAAUUUGUGCAGGGAAUUUUGACAACAGAGAAAGGCCCCAAGGACAAAGAACCUAUGAGACCCAGGUCAGAAGGGUGAUUCUAUCCAUGCUUACUUCUCUUAGUUCAAAUUCGGCAACUCACUUCAGUUUCCUGAGAACUGAGGCAGGACAGACGGCCGGACUGUUACGCUGGGAGUCUUCCUCUUUUCAGGGGACCUUAAUGAGGGUGACAGAAGACUGAAGAGCAGCCCCUCAAAUAUGCACGCAAUUCCUGGGACCUGUGAAUAUUACCUCAUCUGGUGAAGGAAGACUUCAGGGAGGCACUAAAACUAUGUGUCUCGGAAUGAAGAGGACAACUAGUCUGGAUUAUCUGGUGGAACUCCUGGAAUCACAGGGUCCGUAGGAGAAGGGAGAGGAUGCAUGGACAGCAGAGGAGACAUGAAUAGGCUGAGCUGCUGGCAUAGCAGAUGGUGGAAGUGACCAUGAGCCAUGAAUAUAAGAAAGGCGACUCUGAAAUCCUGAAAAUGGCCUGGGGAAGCCACUUCUCAGAACUGCCACCACAGUGACCCUAAGUUGAACACGUCAUAAACCAGGCACUCCCUGAACGAAAAGCCAUAAUAAGCCAUCAUAAAAGCAAGUUGGCUCAUUGGAGAAGACUGGUCUGUCCUAACAGACAGGCCAUUAAAGGACCUAGCCUGCAGCUUCUUCUGCCUGGAAGGGCUGAGCUAUUUUGGAAGUGAACCAAUUAAGAGCAGCAAGGCCCUGAGGCUGAUGGGAGACUCAGCAACCAUAGAUCCUGACAAUGGACGAUGCUGGAAUUAAACCGACAUGUGUGAGCAAAGUGUGGGCUCUUGAUGGAGACAAAGCAGUUUCCGUGACUCACAUUUCUGGGAGAUCCAGAUUCAAUACCUCAUGAAAGAUGGUAUCCAAUUGCCCGGUGAAUACAUGACAAGGAACUCAGAGUCGCCAGUGAUUAGUGAAGAUGCUAGACAAGCCCUCCACCACUGACUCCAUCCCAGCCCUCUGUUCUUUUCCUGACACUGCAGAUGUGACCUUUUAUUUGAAGUUUCUGUUUUGUGUUCACUAUACUAACCCCAGUUGGUUCUUAUUCAUCCACAUUUUAUCUGGAACUUUGCUAAGGAUUUAUAGGCUCAUUGAGAUUGUCAAGACACAUAGAAAGCCUUCUGUUUUGAUUCCUAUGCUGUCCUCUCUGGUACUUCUAGUUUAAUUGUGUCUAAGAGCAUUACCAACCAGCUAAUUGUGUUGUCAUUCAAAUCUUUCAUUCUCUAUCUCAAAAGGAAAGCUUCCAACAUUCCACCAUUAGCCUGAUGUCUGCAAAGUGUUUGGCGUGCUUUCUUUCACUGGGCUACCAAGUUCCUGCUAC